RNAcentral lists this ribosomal RNA (230 nucleotides) under uncultured bacterium. Its description in RNAcentral is "partial 16S ribosomal RNA". It matches the Rfam family "Bacterial small subunit ribosomal RNA", at positions 562 to 791 of the family's 1533-position model. The record is from RNAcentral.
AAAGCGUGCGCAGGCGGUUUUGUAAGACUGUCGUGAAAUCCCCGGGCUCAACCUGGGAAUGGCGAUGGUGACUGCAAGGCUAGAGUUUGGCAGAGGGGGGUAGAAUUCCACGUGUAGCAGUGAAAUGCGUAGAUAUGUGGAGGAACACCGAUGGCGAAGGCAGCCCCCUGGGUCAAAACUGACGCUCAUGCACGAAAGCGUGGGGAGCAAACAGGAUUAGAUACCUGUGU